RNAcentral lists this ribosomal RNA (219 nucleotides) under uncultured bacterium. RNAcentral describes it as "partial 16S ribosomal RNA". It matches the Rfam family "Bacterial small subunit ribosomal RNA", at positions 116 to 334 of the family's 1533-position model. The record is from RNAcentral.
CGGUGGGUAACCUGCCUCAUACAGGGGAGUAACAGUUAGAAAUGACUGCUAAUACCGCAUAAGCGCACAGCAUCGCAUGAUGCCGUGUGAAAAACUCCGGUGGUAUGAGAUGGACCCGCGUCUGAUUAGCUAGUUGGUGAGGUAACGGCCCACCAAGGCGACGAUCAGUAGCCGACCUGAGAGGGUGACCGGCCACAUUGGGACUGAGACACGGCCCAA